Molecule: long non-coding RNA, 565 nt
Filed under: Anas platyrhynchos platyrhynchos (common mallard)
Lineage: Eukaryota; Metazoa; Chordata; Aves; Anseriformes; Anatidae
Description: lncRNA (ENSAPLG00000020526.1)
Source: RNAcentral
CAGGUUUCUUAGCCACAGGACUUUCAACUCUUAUCUCUUUCAAACAUGACAAUUUAUGCUGAUUGCAACAGGAGCUUGUUUCAGGUGGCUGCUUUAACUACAAGAGGAAGGUCUCUGCAGGAAAGAGAGAAGCUGUUGUCUGAGGGCCACUGGAGCUUUUGCAGAGCCUUCCUGAACUUCACUGUAUUUGCUAGAAGGACACAGGGAAUGCAGAGGGAUCCAGAUGCUGUUGUAUGUUGACUUAACACUUCUGCUUUGAUCAGCACAGUAGGUUUGUGCUGGUAGCAUCCCAAACAUGUCCUACAAGUAGAUAUGUGCAAUACUCACAGCACAGGAAUGGUGCUUGCCACCCAUUCCCACCCACUUGUGCUAAGUCAGCUUUCCUUUAUUGCUCUUGCUUGGACCUUGCUUUCAGGGCAUCUCUGACCUUAUUUCUGCCAACAUGCAGUGCCCUCUUGACAUUUAUCUCAUAGCCUUAUUGGGAGGAUGCUGGUGGAGGCUGUCAGAAAUCCAGUGUUGAGCCUCAGGAGACUUUGACCCAUAUCUGCCAGAUGAGUGUGUUGAC